GAAAAUGGUUUACAGACUAACUUCGCCACAUCGUGUGGCAACGUCUGCAUGACCUUCAUCAUGAAGG
RNAcentral lists this small RNA (67 nucleotides) under Paraliobacillus ryukyuensis. Its description in RNAcentral is "Bacillaceae-1 RNA". It matches the Rfam family "Bacillaceae-1 RNA". The record is from Rfam by way of RNAcentral. Lineage: Bacteria; Bacillati; Bacillota; Bacilli; Caryophanales; Bacillaceae.